RNA transcript from Cucumis melo (muskmelon), 3029 nucleotides. RefSeq lists it as uncharacterized. NCBI's taxonomy places the organism in Eukaryota, Viridiplantae, Streptophyta, Magnoliopsida, Cucurbitales, Cucurbitaceae. The record is from RefSeq and is a predicted model, not a curated record. The transcript has 5 exons.
AGAAAUCCCUAAUUUUUCAAUCUCUUCCAUUUGCAGCCGCUUCUUCCUCAACAUAUCAUCUCCUUCCCAAACUAAUCGCCUUCUUCGACGUCCGGCGUCCAAUUCUUCCGCCCCGAUAUUCUUUCUCCACGUCCGAUUUUCUUGCGCCCAGUUUAUCUUCCUGCCUGAUAUUCUUCCGCCCCAAUUUGCUGUCUGCCCCGAUUUGCCAUCGCCCACAUUCGAUUUCUCUUCUGCCUGUGGUUGGACGGACUUCCGCCGACCGUCCGUCUUCUGCUGACCGUGUGUCUUCCGCCGACGGUUCAACGUCGGCCAACUGUUUCGCCUCCUCCCACGCAUCAACGUCCGCCCAAUCUUCUGCCAACAACCGGUCACAUGUAUAUGGGGCUCAACGAUCUGUUUGCUAAAUGAAUUAUCUCUAUCUAAAUGUGUUGCCUUCAAAUGGUAUUAAUAAUUAUUAUUUGGUUAUUGCUCUAGUGAACUCGUAAGUUCAAUUCUCUCUUACCUUUUCUUGAGUGACUAAUUUUAAUAAUAUGAGUCAAGUUUUAGUUGACAAUCUCUGACCUUCUACUAUAUUUGCUGUCGGUGUAUCAAGAUUUGGACUAUUAUUGCUUGAAGUUAUGAAAGUAAGUUAGCUUGCGUUAGAUUCAUUGGUCUUGUAAUCUGUUAUUAGAAUUUUGUCAUAGUAAAUGUCCUGUGUAUUUCAGGUAUUGGGCUGGACAGUCACUUGUUAGAAAUUUUCAUUGAUAUAUCUAACGAAAGUUUAAGUUUAGAAUGUGAAAUUUUGGAUGCAUUAUGUGUAUACGAUUUUCUUGACUUCCACAGGAAUUUUAGGUAUUUUGCAUUGCCACAUUGUUAUACCAAACAUGUGCUUUUCUUCUGUUUCACCUACACAAACACAAUUUUUGCAAUUUCUGACACCCAUAAAAAAAAGAGUAUAGAUAAAUCUCAAAAAAUACAUCGCUAGAAAGAGGAACAUAAAAUUGCACAUUGCAUUUGCAAGUGGGUAUUGUGUUAGGAAGAUAGUGUAAGAAAGCUUGAGUUACUCUCAAUAUAAGCAGCAUCUCUAGAAAUGAAUAUACACUAUUCAUUUGAACUUCAGAAUUUUAUCUGUAUUCAAAGAUGAAACAGGCAAUCUUCAAGCCUCUAGAGUUUCUGGUGUUCAUAUUGGCAAUUGCAUCCUUUUUUAGGCAAGGUAAAGCCAAGUUCUGUUCUAACAGUCUAAUUUACUCUCUAAUUUACAAUUGUCAAGUAUCUUUUUCAGUACACAAGCAGCAUUUCUUUGAACGGGGCAAUUUUCUAAAUUACGACUUUGUCUGUUUCCAAGGAUGAAUUUUGUUUAGCUCGUUCAUGUUUCCACUGCUCGGAUCUAGGGGUUUUCUACUGGGUGUUUUCAAUUUUGUUAAUGAAGUUUUGGGUUUCUGAUAACUUUAUAUCUCCUCCAAGAAGGUAUGUUUUAGAAUUGUCAUAUGUUAUUUAAUUUCUUUCAUUGAUUUUCUCAAUGCUUUUGGUUUGACCUUUCAGUAUGAUCUAUAAUGGUUGGUGAUUGUGAAUUUGAAUUCCAGUAUAGGUAUCUAGUUGGCCUGCUGCAAUUGUUCACCGAAGAAUUUGAUAAUGUGCAUUGGGAUUGUUGGUAAUGACAAUUUUCAUCAAAUAAGUAUGGAUUUGUUAGUACUAACUAGGUCUGUUGUUUUUAUAUUGGGAUGAAUUAAUUUUCAUCAAAUAAGUAUGGAUUCGUUAGUUUGGAUUAUGUGCAUUGGGAUUAUUUAGCAUUAUCUAAUUUCUCAUGUAUCAUCUGGAUUGACUUAAUCUCUCGCUGAAUGUACCUUUUUUUAUGACUUUAAUGUUCUUCCAGGUCGGUUAUUUUUAUAUUGCUUAGUUAGAUCACCAAAUGCAAGCACAUACUACUUCAUGUUGUAUUCUCUAUAUCUUUUCUCUAUUUUCUCUGCAAAGAAAAUGGAUUGUCUAUCCUUUUGUAGUGAUAUUUAAAAUGAGGUUUUGCUUGAUGCUGAUGAAGAAGAGAAGGAAAGUAUUCUUUUUAGACAUAGUGAGAAGCUAGCCAUUUCCUCCAUUUUUUUGAUAGAAAAAGAUCCAAGUAGGACUGUUUCUCUAUUUGGGCGGUGAUAAAUGUCGGUGAUCGAGUGGAUAGUGCACUGAAAGACAUGGCUGUAGUGAUGAAGCAGCUGGACAGCUCUGAUGAAGCGAUUGAGGCUAUCAAAUCCUUUUCUUUAAACGAUCUUUUCCUUUCGUAGAUUCAAUUUCUUUUAUGUUGGGAUGGUUAUCUUAGGACUUGAUAGUUUGGCAUAGAAAUUUUUUGUAGUCGAUAAUAUUGUUGAAUUCUAGUCGAAAAGCUUGUUUGCUGGGCGUAAAGGAAAAUCUUAUAUUAAUCUUCUUCAGGUAAGUGUACUUUAAGAGAUGUUAUUCAACUUAUGUAUUGGACUAUAAAGUUGAACAAGGAGAAUUAGUUCUAAAUUGUGUUGGUGAUAUGUAAAUUAUUCUAAAUUAGUUCUAAUGAUAUGUAGAUUUACCCUUUUAUUAUUUUCCUGUUUAGUUGGUUCAAGAUACUUGAAAAACCCUGAAGUGCUUGACAAAGUAGGAAUAGGAAUAAAGCCUCCUCAUGGAGUUCUUUCGAAAGGACCUCCUCGCUAUGGUAAGUUUCAAUGUGUUGCCAUACCGUUGUAUACUUGGGGAGACUUUUUUGUUUUAGCUAUUAUGAAAUGGAGUUCUCUUCUAAGCAUUAGUCCAUGCCGAGGAAUUUAUCGACUUAAAACUGAACAAUCAGUUUUUUGCCUUGUUUGCCACACGACACAAGAAAUACUGUUCAGGUUUUGCCAGAAUCUAUUGGAGCAACGAAGUCAUAUUUGCAGCAAUUCAUUGAUGUAUAGGCAUUUUUGUAGGUUUGGUAGGAAAAUUUCUGGUUUAAAUGUAGUUAUUUAGAUAGCUUGUUCGUAAUAAACCAUAUAUGUACCAAUACUUAAAGCGAUAUUAUAAAGUGUAUAUUUCUUUAUAUUAAAGCGUCCAUCGUUUCUUUC